Molecule: long non-coding RNA, 803 nt
Organism: Impatiens glandulifera
Lineage: Eukaryota; Viridiplantae; Streptophyta; Magnoliopsida; Ericales; Balsaminaceae
Exons: 7
Source: RefSeq, a predicted model, not a curated record
CAGCAAUUUGUGCGUUUGGAAGCUCUCCCUCACGGUCCCUUUCCUGUUAUCGCUUUCGCCGCCUCAUCUUAGCUUCCCUUUUCUUUUUUCAUUUGUUUCUCAUUCUAGGUCAUAUAGUUGGAGAGGGAGAGAUUCAAGGUAUGACUAAGGAUCUGGAUAAGGAGUUUCGAAAGCUAAAUUGCAGAACGACGGGUGGAUUCAUAAAGUUGGUGCUUAUCGAAAGCAGAAAAUCCUUCUCUUUGUAAAUUUGCAUCAUUUUUAUCCUGCUGCUAACUUCUCCUAUGCAUUCUCUUCUCCGCUUUCAAUUUUUGUUCGGCUGUUACCUCUCCGAAGCUGACAAGAGCUAUCCAACAAAGAGUGCAGAGUUAAUAACUUGUAAGGCAUGCCCAAGGGUUUCAUAAUGUAGCAGGAGAAAAAGAACAUAGUGCAUACAUGUCAGAAGAGUUUUUUGAUGCAAAACUCAUACAUCUUGGCUAAUAUCAGGGUUAUACUGUUAGAGAGUUCUAAAAGCAGGGUGUUAAGCAAGGUGAACUUGCAAUUAUUUUUAAAGAAGCGGUUGCUCCUUAUGAGCGUCCAACUCUUAGCAAGGGAUCCCUUCUUCCUGAGAUUAAGUUUUCAAAACUUCUAAAUCAUCAAAGUUGAAAAAUAUAACAACAUACAACUUCCAUUGGAACAUGAAAGACGGGCUUUACUUGGAUUGGUGUUAGAGCUACUUAUGCAGGAAAUAGACCACAUGGCAAAAUCUAAUUACAAGUUGUUGAUCAAAUAUCAGGUCUAAUUGUGUGGUGGAGUUGGUGCCCUAA